Molecule: long non-coding RNA, 215 nt
Filed under: Gallus gallus (chicken)
Lineage: Eukaryota; Metazoa; Chordata; Aves; Galliformes; Phasianidae
Source: RNAcentral
GUUGGCCUCAAGAGGGCAAGUGGGAGGCCGGCUGCAGGCGAUGAGGCAGCAGGAGGUGUCCCAGAUAACCUGCAGGGAGAGCCUAACCUGAUAGAGGUUUUCAUUCCUUUGUGUUUUUGAAAUCACUUUUGGCUGUGUGUAUGAGGCUAACUCUACUGGGCAAGUGUCCCCUAAAGCUGAGAUUUGUGAUGUUUUGGGCUUUUUUUUUUUUUUUU